CUGCCCGCUGGCUCCCUGCACUGGGGAAUGAGGUGAACUAAGCCUAGCAGACACCUCCUCCCAAAAGGAUUCUACGGCUGUACCUCUGACACCUGCUGGCUACAGGUGUUCAACAACUUUUAAGGAUGAGGGCAAAGAACUAUUUCAGUCUAUGAGGUGUUCUUUGAGGCUUAUUAGGGAGAAGCUACAGAUGGGAGGGGAAAAUGGGUAAAAGAAAGAGGGAGGGAAAAUAGGAGGAAAAUGUGGAAAAGGCAUUUGAGAGGGAAAAGCCUGAAGAUGACCUUAGAACUAAGGAGCAGUAACUCCAGCGGUUCAGCACCUGUUGUCAAACACCUUGUGAAUGAAAGAGCAAGGAGAGAAUUUAACUAUCUAGAAGACCACUCUUCCCAGUUUCUGGCCAAUGGGAUGUGGGCAGAAGUGAUAGGCAUCAGUUACAGAACUCAUUCACACCUUCUUCAAUGGUUUUGGAAGCCACAUGCUUCAGAUGGCAACGCUACCCUGGUAAAGAAGGUUGCAUCUGAGUCACCACGUGGAGAUCAACUUUGUAUGUGUGAAAAAUGAAUGUUGACUGUGUUGGGCCACUGAGAUAUUUAGCUGUUUGUAUCACCAGCUAGCCUUAUUUAUCCUAAUGAAUACAAGGAGACAAACAAAAACAUCUUUCAGAGUA
This is a non-coding RNA of Macaca mulatta (Rhesus monkey), 667 nucleotides long. NCBI's taxonomy places the organism in Eukaryota, Metazoa, Chordata, Mammalia, Primates, Cercopithecidae. The record is from RefSeq and is a predicted model, not a curated record.